UGGGGAAUUUUGGACAAUGGGCGAAACCCUGAUCCAGCCAUCCCGCGUGUGCGAUGAAGGCCUUCGGGUUGUAAAGCACUGUUGGCAGGAAAGAAGCGUCAUGGGUUAAUACCCCGUGAAACUGACGGUACCUGCAGAAUAAGCACCGGCUAA
Molecule: ribosomal RNA, 153 nt
Filed under: uncultured bacterium
Lineage: Bacteria
Description: partial 16S ribosomal RNA
Rfam family: Bacterial small subunit ribosomal RNA
Source: RNAcentral